CCCUGGUAGUCCACUCCGUAAACGUUGGGCGCUAGGUGUGGAAUCCAUUCCACGGGUUCGGUGCCGCAAGCUUACGCAUUAAGCGCCCCGCCUGGGAAGUACGNCCGCAAGGCUUAAACUCAAAGGAAUUGACGGGGGCCCGCACAAGCGGCGGAGCAUGCGGAUUAAUUCGAUGCAACGCGAAGGACCUUACCUGGGUUUGCCAUAUGNCAGAAAGCGCAGAGAUGGUGCCCCUUUUGGUCGGUAUACAGGUGGUGCAUGGCUGUCGUCAGCUCGUGUCGUGAGAUGUUGGGUUAAGUCCCGCAACGAGCGCAACCCUCGUCCUAUGUUGCCAGCACGUUAUGGUGGGGACUCAUAGGAGACUGCCGGGGUCAACUCGGAGGAAGGUGGGGAAUGACGUCAAGUCAUCAAUGCCCCUUAUGUCCAGGGCUUCACGCAUGCUACAAUGGCCGGUACAAAGGGCUGCGAUGCUGUAAGGCGGAGCGAAUCCCAAAAAGCCGGUCUCAGUUCGGAUUGGGGUCUGCAACUCGACCCCA
RNAcentral lists this ribosomal RNA (536 nucleotides) under uncultured Nocardioides sp. RNAcentral describes it as "bacterial SSU rRNA". It matches the Rfam family "Bacterial small subunit ribosomal RNA", at positions 785 to 1320 of the family's 1533-position model. Lineage: Bacteria; Bacillati; Actinomycetota; Actinomycetes; Propionibacteriales; Nocardioidaceae. The record is from RNAcentral.